AGAGUUUGAUCCUGGCUCAGGACGAACGCUGGCGGCGUGCCUAAUACAUGCAAGUAGAACGCACAGUUUAUACCGUAGCUUGCUACACCAUAGACUGUGAGUUGCGAACGGGUGAGUAACGCGUAGGUAACCUGCCUGGUAGCGGGGGAUAACUAUUGGAAACGAUAGCUAAUACCGCAUAAUAUUAAUUAUUGCAUGAUAAUUGAUUGAAAGAUGCAACUGCAUCACUACCAGAUGGACCUGCGUUGUAUUAGCUAGUAGGUGAGGUAACGGCUCACCUAGGCGACGAUACAUAGCCGACCUGAGAGGGUGAUCGGCCACACUGGGACUGAGACACGGCCCAGAC
RNAcentral lists this ribosomal RNA (346 nucleotides) under Streptococcus gordonii. RNAcentral's name for it is "bacterial SSU rRNA". It matches the Rfam family "Bacterial small subunit ribosomal RNA", at positions 8 to 336 of the family's 1533-position model. Lineage: Bacteria; Bacillati; Bacillota; Bacilli; Lactobacillales; Streptococcaceae. The record is from RNAcentral.